UUUUUUUCGUAGGCUCCAUGCCCAACGUGGGGCUGGAACUCAGGACCCCAAGAUCAAGAAUCAUGCUCCACAGACUAGGGCAGCCAGGUGACCCUGCACUUUGAUUUUUAACACCUUCCAGACUUUUAGGAAAACUGCCGUUUGGAAACAGAGCCUGGCUGUGGCCUGUGGGGGCACCAGGGAAGUUGUUGGCUGAGCUGAGGAUAAACACCAGGGAUUCUAUUCUCAAUUACCAGUGAGCUCAGGCAUCUUUUCAAGUGUUCAUAAGGACCAUUUCCGCAUCAUCUUCUGUGAGUGGAAUCUUCUGUGAGAGUCUGUGGAUAUUUAACGUGUCUUUCUCAGAGCAUCCUAAUUCCAUCCAGUAGUGGCCAUUUAUGUUCUGUUUUAUCAGUCUCCUGUAAAGUCAGAUUCACAGCCUUUGACCUAAAGGAAGCCAACAGGUGGACUCCUCCGGGCCAUGCUGAUUGGUUGAGGACAGGGCUCAUGACCCACGAAGGGUCAGCCAGAGAAAACAAGUCCCCAUUCCUUGAUAUCUUUUCAAGCUAUUGGACAGAGAAACUCUGCCUUCCUCUACAUUUGAUUCAGUGAAGUGGCCAUGUAACACCCAGAGGAGCCAGGAAAUGAAACCCCACAGAGAAGGCAAAGCUGACGAAUGCAGAGAUUCUGAGUCCGGAUGGUAUUAUCUGAGCUGCUGGGUCCAGCCUCGUCCAGAGACAAACUACGCUUGAAUUCCCUGGUGGUGUAUAAAUGAAUACAUUCUUUGUUUCAAUUAUCCUUAUUUUUUGUUGUUGUUUUAAUUAUCAUUAUUUUUAAAGAGGUUAGGACGAGAUGGUUGGGUCUUUCUUUCUUUCUUUCUUUCUUUCUUUCUUUCUUUCUUUCUUUCUU
Panthera uncia (snow leopard) is the source of this 885-nucleotide long non-coding RNA. RefSeq lists it as uncharacterized. NCBI's taxonomy places the organism in Eukaryota, Metazoa, Chordata, Mammalia, Carnivora, Felidae. The record is from RefSeq and is a predicted model, not a curated record. The transcript has 3 exons.